Molecule: non-coding RNA, 369 nt
Organism: Glossina palpalis gambiensis
Lineage: Eukaryota; Metazoa; Arthropoda; Insecta; Diptera; Glossinidae
Source: Rfam
GGGGCUGAUUUUAGGAUUCGACGAAAUUUAUAAAACUAAACGAUGCAUGUCGAGAAGAGGUGGACUCGUAAAACCUCGUAUUUACAAAUGCAACAAAUAAAUACCAAGAACCCGCUCUAUUAGCAGCUUAAACAGAAUAUAAAUCUGAGGUUCCUUCUAUAAUAAUCUCUCUCUAAGUUUAUUAACAGAAGUCAUUACUAGAGAUCGCAUUACAUACAAUCUUGAAAGUAUGAAUGUUAAAAAAUAUCAAGAUAAUUUUAAAUUCUGUAUGUCUUUCUACUGAUUUAAAAUAAAAUAAAAGAAAGAAUAAACAUGUAGUAUCAAUAGGAUUAAAAUUUCGGACGCGGGUUCAAAUCCCGCCAGCUCCAA